UGGAGCUUGAUAGUAUGACAGAGGUAUGCAUAAUUUUGAUGUCACCCUUCUUCCUUUCUCCUUGCGCAUGUGGAAUAGUGAUUAGUUGCAAUAGCACCAAUAAAAAUAGCACUAUGAACUCUAAAAUUUCGGUUAAUAACUUGCAUUUUGAAAAUAAAAUAUAUAAGAAGCAACCAAUUUAAUAUAUAAAACAACAAUAAA
This 201-nucleotide unclassified non-coding RNA is filed under the name Hevea brasiliensis (rubber tree). The record is from RNAcentral. Lineage: Eukaryota; Viridiplantae; Streptophyta; Magnoliopsida; Malpighiales; Euphorbiaceae.